CCUACGGGGGGCAGCAGUGAGGAAUAUUGGUCAAUGGACGAGAGUCUGAACCAGCCAAGUAGCGUGAAGGAUGACUGCCCUAUGGGUUGUAAACUUCUUUUAUAUGGGAAUAAAACAGGGUAUGCAUACCCUCUUGUAUGUACCAUAUGAAUAAGGAUCGGCUAACUCCGUGCCAUCAGCCGCGGUAAUACGGAGGAUCCGAGCGUUAUCCGGAUUUAUUGGGUUUAAAGGGAGCGUAGGUGGAUUGUUAAGUCAGUUGUGAAAGUUUGCGGCUCAACCGUAAAAUUGCAGUUGAAACUGGCAGUCUUGAGUACAGUAGAGGUGGGCGGAAUUCGUGGUGUAGCGGUGAAAGGCUUAGAUAUCACGAAGAACUCCGAUUGCGAAGGCAGCUCACUGGACUGCAACUGACACUGAUGCUCGAAAGUGUGGGUAUCAAACAGGAUUAGAUACCCUUGUAGUC
This 460-nucleotide ribosomal RNA is filed under the name uncultured bacterium. Its description in RNAcentral is "partial 16S ribosomal RNA". It matches the Rfam family "Bacterial small subunit ribosomal RNA", at positions 338 to 795 of the family's 1533-position model. The record is from RNAcentral.